This 433-nucleotide ribosomal RNA is filed under the name Printzina sp. TreFl 28. RNAcentral's name for it is "SSU rRNA". It matches the Rfam family "Eukaryotic small subunit ribosomal RNA", at positions 1300 to 1759 of the family's 1831-position model. Lineage: Eukaryota; Viridiplantae; Chlorophyta; Ulvophyceae; Trentepohliales; Trentepohliaceae. The record is from RNAcentral.
GGUGGGUUGGCUUGUCAGGUUGAUUCCGGUAACGAACGAGACCUCAGCCUGCUAAAUAGUAGCUCUCGGCUCCGCCGGGAGGCAGACUUCUUAGAGGGACUAUUAGCGACUAUCAGCUAAUUGAAGUAUGAGGCAAUAACAGGUCUGUGAUGCCCUUAGAUGUUCUGGGCCGCACGCGCGCUACACUGACGCAAUCAACGAGCCUCCUGGCCUCGAGAGGGUCGGGUAAUCUUGUAAACUGCGUCGUGAUGGGGCUAGAGCUUUGUAAUUAUUGCUCUUUAACGAGGAAUGCCUAGUAAGCGCGAGUCAUCAGCUCGCGUUGAUUACGUCCCUGCCCUUUGUACACACCGCCCGUCGCUCCUUCCGAUUGGGUGUGCUGGUGAAGAGUUCGGACUGGACCUGGCUGGCAACAGCCCCGGUUCGGGAAGUCCUU